GCCUUAAUGCAGCUCCCCUCCAGGGGAACGGUCACAAGCCCGUGGAAAUGCAGAGUGAGGC
This 61-nucleotide non-coding RNA is filed under the name Ruminococcaceae bacterium D16. The record is from RNAcentral. Lineage: Bacteria; Bacillati; Bacillota; Clostridia; Eubacteriales; Oscillospiraceae.